AUCCUGAAAGUUAAGUUAACUUCCGGACACCCUGUAUAGAAGAAUAGCUGUCUUCAGGUUAGCAUUGAAAUUAAAUGCCAGAAUCAAGGUACGGGUACGGGUACAGAUCUUUUGUCACACUCUGAAGGUACGUAAACUUUAGUUGAUAUUGAUAUUCCGCAUUUCUGAUUUGGAUGCCAUUUACCGCCAAAGGUGCGGAAGUCCGCAAUGUUCCGAGUGAUAAAUAUAAAAAUAAUAUCUGAAUUGGCAACAGUGUAGAGUUUUGAGGUUCGUAAACAAUCUUUUGAUGCUCAACGUUGCAGGAAAAAUUCGGUAAACAUGAUGGCCUGUUGGCUCUGUUGUGGUUAAAAAGUUAGGCGCAAUUAUACGCCCUCCAUACAAAGUACCGCUUGUUGCAUUUCCGCAACAAUCAACGUUCAGAUGCUCACCAAACACCAUACGCAACAAAAAUAUAACCUCAAAAUCAAUUUUUGUAAACAAACCGUUUUCAGUUUUUUUGGCUUUGGCUUUUUAAUGUGACUUUUUCACCUGAAUUAUUUUAGUGCAAGGCCCUCUCAUGAAAGGAAGAGACUAGAUUUAGCAAGUCGAUCUCCUCUAAAGUGCUUUAAAAAAUGAUUCAUUCCUCCCUCGUGAGGAGAAUUGCCUUUAAGGCAACUGUGCCUUCAACGCUUCGAAGUUAUGAGUAUUCUCUCAGUUCCUUUCUCCACGUAUAUAGUUGCAAAGAUAUUUAGAUUAUUGUUAACUUAUCUCAAAAAUGGAUCUAUAGCAGUGCUCAUUACAUUUAUAUCUAGAGCAGAAAUCAAUUAUCAUGGUAGUCCCAGAAUUAUUUUCUACCGCACUUCAUCUAUGCCAAUAUUUGUGGCUGAAGUGGAAGGAUAGAUGGUCAUACCUGAAGCUGUAUUUUAUCUUAUUCUACAACGAGCACCUUGAGUCAUUUUGGAUGUACUCCUGGGACCAAUGUAUUGGUUUUGAUACUUUACGAAGCGGUUGGACCGGUAAGAUAUCUUCAAUCCUAAUCCCUUUUCCCGAG
Molecule: long non-coding RNA, 1030 nt
Filed under: Bemisia tabaci
Lineage: Eukaryota; Metazoa; Arthropoda; Insecta; Hemiptera; Aleyrodidae
Description: lncRNA ENSSSA2NGG011228
Source: RNAcentral